CCCCGCGCGUCACAGUGCCCGGCCGCCCGACGCCGCGUUGGCCGCGGCAGAGGGCGGCCCGAGCUGACCUCCGGCCCGCGGGCCGCGCGUGCUCAGUGCGGGCGGCCGGUCUGGGGGGCGGGGCCGCGCGGUCACUCCCGACCCCACUCACUUGCAAAGGUCGGGAAGGACUGGACUUGGGGAGCAACUUCUGCGGUAUUUCCACUGGGGGCUGCACAGUGAGAUUCUCAUGAAGCUACAGACCAAUUUGAGGACGUCUGACAACUGAGUCUUCUGAUCCAAGAACUAGUGUGAAUUUUUAGGUAAUCUUGGAUUUCUACCAGUAAUGUUUUAUUUAUUUAUUUUUAAAGUGUUUCUUUGUUUUUAUAAAUUUUUAUUUAUUUAUGGCUGCGUUGGGUCUUUGUUGCUGUGCGUGGGCUUUCUCUAGUUGUGGCAAGCGGGGGCUACUCUUCGUUGUGGUUCGUGGGCUUCUCAUCGCGGUGGCUUCUCUUGUUGCAGAGCACGGGCUCUAGGCGCGCGGGCUUCAGUAGUUGGGGUUCGCGGGCUCUAGAGCUCAGGAUCAGUAGUUGUGGCGCACGGGCUUAGUUGCUUCACGGCAUGUGGCAUCUUCCCGGACCAGGGCCUGAACCCGUAUCCCCUUCAUUGGCAGGCGGAUUCUUAACCUCUGUGCCACCAGGGAAGCCCUCUGUUAGUAAUGUUUUCUACUUUUCAUUGUAUAGGCCGGAAUACCUUUUGUCAAAUUUAUGCCUAGAAAAUCCAUAUCUUAUGCAAUUGUAAAUGGUAUUUCAAAUUUCAAUUUAAUUAUUUAUUGCUAGAUACAGGAAUUUAAUUUUUGCAUACUGGCCUUGUAUCUGAAAUCUUGCUAUACUCACUUAAGUUUUAGUAGCUUUUUUUUUUUGGUGGAUUUUUAGGCAAUUAUAUACUUGAAAAUAAUUUCCAUGUAUCUGUGUAUUUCCCAAAUUUCUUUCACAAGUUCCAUUGUGGUCAGAAAAUAUACUUUGUGUGACUUCAGAUUUUCAGUUCUAUUGAGACAGGUUUUAUGUCACAGCAUAUGGUCUAUUUUGGAGACUGUUCCAUGUGCAUUUGAGAAGAAUAUGUAUUCUGCUGUUGUUGGGCAGAGUGUUUGAUAGAUGUCUAUUAUGUCCAGCUAGUUUUUAAUGUUGUUCAAGUGUUCUAUAACCUCAUCAGUCUUCUGCCUAUUUAUUCUGUCAAUUUUUGAAUGAGGGGAAUUCAAGUCCCCAACUCUUAUUGUUGAAUUGUCUAUUGUUUUCUUUAGAUUCUGUCAGUUUUUGCUUCCUGUUAACAAUUUUUAUCUUAAAAUCUAUUUUUUCAGAUAUUAACAUAGCUGCUCCAGCUCUCUUAUUGUUGCUGUUUAUCUUUUUACAUACUUUUACUUUGACAGCUUUAUUGAGAUAUAAUUUACAAAUCAUACAAUUCAUCCAUUAAAGUGUACAAUUCAAUGAUUUUUGGUACAUUACAUCAUUAAUUUUGUAAUUGUAGUGAAAUGUAUUUAACAUAAAAUUUGCCAUUUUUGCCAUUUUAAAGUGUAUAACUCAGUAGCGUUAAUUGCAUUUAAAAUGUUGUGCAAACUUCACCACUGUUUCCAAAACUUUUUCAUCACUCCAAACAGAAACUCUGUAACUGUUAGGCAACACUCUCCAUUCCACCCUCUCCCUAACCCUUUGUAAUGUCUAAUCUACUUUCUGUCUCUAUGAAUUUGUUUAUUCCAGAUAUUUUAUGUAAGUGGAUUCAUACAAUAUUUAUCCUUUUGUAUCUCACUUAUUUCAUUUAGCAUAAUGUUUUCAAGGUUCUUCCAUGUUGUGGCAUGUAUCAUAUCUUCAUUCCCUUUUAUGAUUGAAUAAAAUACCUUUGCAGGUGUA
Orcinus orca (killer whale) is the source of this 1880-nucleotide long non-coding RNA. RefSeq lists it as uncharacterized. The record is from RefSeq and is a predicted model, not a curated record. Lineage: Eukaryota; Metazoa; Chordata; Mammalia; Artiodactyla; Delphinidae. The transcript is spliced from 2 exons.